RNAcentral lists this ribosomal RNA (710 nucleotides) under uncultured Dechloromonas sp. RNAcentral describes it as "bacterial SSU rRNA". It matches the Rfam family "Bacterial small subunit ribosomal RNA", at positions 74 to 781 of the family's 1533-position model. Lineage: Bacteria; Pseudomonadati; Pseudomonadota; Betaproteobacteria; Rhodocyclales; Azonexaceae. The record is from RNAcentral.
GGACCUUCGGGUGCCGGCGAGUGGCGAACGGGUGAGUAAUGUAUCGGAACGUACCCUAGAGUGGGGGAUAACUCUCCGAAAGGAGGGCUAAUACCGCAUAUUCUAUGCGUAGGAAAGCAGGGGACCUUCGGGCCUUGUGCUCUAGGAGCGGCCGAUAUCAGAUUAGGUAGUUGGUGGGGUAAAGGCCUACCAAGCCGACGAUCUGUAGCGGGUCUGAGAGGAUGAUCCGCCACACUGGAACUGAGACACGGUCCAGACUCCUACGGGAGGCAGCAGUGGGGAAUUUUGGACAAUGGGCGCAAGCCUGAUCCAGCCAUGCCGCGUGAGUGAAGAAGGCCUUCGGGUUGUAAAGCUCUUUCGGCCGGGAAGAAAUCGCAUAGGCUAAUACCUUGUGUGGAUGACGGUACCGGAAUAAGAAGCACCGGCUAACUACGUGCCAGCAGCCGCGGUAGUACGUAGGGUGCGAGCGUUAAUCGGAAUUACUGGGCGUAAAGCGUGCGCAGGCGGUUUUUUAAGAUAGGCGUGAAAUCCCCGGGCUCAACCUGGGAACUGCGCUUAUGACUGGAAGACUCGAGUAUGGCAGAGGGGGGUGGAAUUCCACGUGUAGCAGUGAAAUGCGUAGAGAUGUGGAGGAACACCGAUGGCGAAGGCAGCCCCCUGGGCCAAUACUGACGCUCAUGCACGAAAGCGUGGGGAGCAAACAGGAUUAG